RNAcentral lists this ribosomal RNA (717 nucleotides) under Kimberleytrachia silvaepluvialis. RNAcentral describes it as "partial 16S ribosomal RNA". The stretch from base 294 to 532 matches the Rfam family "Archaeal large subunit ribosomal RNA", at positions 1786 to 2143 of the family's 2987-position model. Lineage: Eukaryota; Metazoa; Mollusca; Gastropoda; Stylommatophora; Camaenidae. The record is from RNAcentral.
CACGAAACUGUAUGAGCUAACUAAAAUUGAAACUAUGUUGCAUAAUAGAUAAAAAGUUAUAGUUAGGAGUGAAAGGCUUUACAAACGCAGUGAUAUCUUGAUUUUCCCAAAAAGUAUUGAGUACGUUGAAAAGUUUAGAGCGAUAAGGUUUUAAAUUGACAUUAAACAUGGUUAGUUAAAUAUGUUGAUAUAAAAGUCUAUAAAAAUGUAAAUUAAUAUUGAUAAUUGAGAAUUAUGAUGCGUAGGGAAACAUUAUUAACUUUAUUCUAAGUUGAUUAUGUUAAUAUUAGUAAUUUGGAGGUGCCAAUAGUGAACUCGGCAUUAAGUUUUCAACUGUUUAUCAAAAACAUAGCUGCGUGUAUUACACGCAGUAAUUUCUGCUCAAUGAGAUAUUAAAUAGCCGCAGUACCCUGACUGUGCAAAGGUAGCGUAAUCAAUUGUCUUUUAAUUAAAGACGGGUAUGAAAGAAUAUAUGGGGACUUUCUUUACCAUUGGUAAAAACAGAAUUUACUUAUUGAGUGAAAAUACUCAUAAAUAAAUAAUAGACGAGAAGACCCUUGAAAUUUUUAGUAGUUUUUUGUUGGGGCAACAUAGUAGCAGAUAACCUACUAAACUUAACUAGAAAUUAUGUAGCGUGAUUAAAUUACUCUAGGGAUAACAGCGUAAUUUUUGAUUGUUUGUGACCUCGAUGUUGGAUUAGGAAGUUGUCAUUUAGAA